UACGAAGGGGGCUAGCGUUGUUCGGAAUUACUGGGCGUAAAGCGCAUGUAGGCGGAUAUUUAAGUCAGGGGUGAAAUCCCGAGGCUCAACCUCGGAACUGCCUUUGAUACUGGAUGUCUUGAGUGUGAGAGAGGUGAGUGGAACUCCGAGUGUAGAGGUGAAAUUCGUAGAUAUUCGGAAGAACACCAGUGGCGAAGGCGACUCACUGGCUCAUUACUGACGCUGAGGCUCGAAAGCGUGGGGAGCAAACAGG
RNAcentral lists this ribosomal RNA (253 nucleotides) under uncultured bacterium. RNAcentral's name for it is "partial 16S ribosomal RNA". It matches the Rfam family "Bacterial small subunit ribosomal RNA", at positions 524 to 776 of the family's 1533-position model. The record is from RNAcentral.